UUGGCCUACAAUAGCACUAAUUUAAUAGCACUUUUUCUGAAGUGCUAUUAAAAAUCUCACUCUGAUGUUUAUAAUAGCGCUUUUUGUCAGAAGUGCUAUAAUAUAGUGAAAACAAAUUUUGAAAGAGGCCUUUAAUAGCGCUUUCCUUGCGAGCGCUAUAAAAUAUAUAUCCCUUUGAUAGCACUUUUAUUGAAACGCUAUUAUAGGUCUUUCCGGAAAAAAAAAAUAAAACACUAAAAAAUUUCGCUGAAAAAUUUCAUAAGGUUUCAUUCUAUUUUUCUCGGUCCGCCGUUUCACUCUUCCUCACUCUCCAAUCUCCAUAUCCAUCGUUCUUCAUGGAACUCUCAAUCAUCACUCUCCAACUCCAUCGUUCCUCACUCUCCAUCGCUAACUCAUCAAUUGAACCCUCAAACCUUCUUCUCUCCAUCAUUCCCCAAAACUUAUUAAACCCUAAAUCCCAAAUUGACCCCAAAAAUUGAAGGAUUGAUACCAUUGUUGAAGGCUAGAAGGAGUUUUCUGUUUGCAUUCAAACGAGUUUAGUAGAAUCAAUGUUUCUGAUCUCAUUCCACGAACCCUAAUCAGGUUUAGCUCUGAUGUUCUGCCGGUUAUGUGUUUGCCUCUGUUGUCCAGGUUAUUUUUGUGGUUUAGAUGUUACUGGAAGAGUUUUUAAUUGGUAAACUAUUAAAUUGUCUAUUGAUUUUAUAGGUUUUGAUUGGAUUAUGAAGUAAGAAAUGGCUUAAUUAUGAACUUCCAUGUGACUGUUUCUGCAUGUUGUUUUUCUUUUUGAUGAACUAGUGUUUCUGUGUGUUAUAGACUUAUAGUUUUCUUGUUAAUUGUUAAACAUGUAUUAACUAGAUUGAUAUAUAGAACCUGGUGUAUGAGUUUGGUUGCAGUUGCUUAGUGUAACAGCCUCUUUGACAGACCUGGAUAGUUGUAUUGUGUCUAUCUCUGUAUUUCUGGUGAGCAGCAUCACCCCCCUCUUUCUUAUUCAUCAUCUUUAUUUAUGUUGCUUUCACUCUCCAAGACAGAGAAGAAUGAGAUGAGUUUUGUUAUACUGACUUAUAAGUAGAAAAUAGAGAAAGGGGACAAUUGGCAUAAUAUACUCACUCUACACUGCAGAAUCAGUAAGAGCAAGAAGCUGCCGCUACGCAAGGGGUCCGGUCUCACCUUCGUCGACGACAUCAAGGACUUCUUGAAAACAUGAGAAAGAUGCUGGCUAGGUUUGGAAAAUGGCGGAGUAUUACUUAGGUUAAUUAGUUGUCUUGUUUUGAUUAGUGUUAUGAACAUCAUAAUUCAUAUGGUUGCUUAGGUUAAUUAGUUUGGAAAUGGUUUAGGAGCUUAUUGUGAAUGUUGUAGUAAACCAAACUCUGGUACAGUAGUAAGGAAGUUUGCUUUUGUCUUGUACACAGAAUUGUCUUGCUUUGUGAAGGGAGGGAGCCUCAUGUAAUUUGAUUGUACUUAUUGGCCUUCCUUGUGCCUUUUUAUCUUUAAUAUAUUUUUGGCUUUUUGUCCUUA
Molecule: long non-coding RNA, 1515 nt
Organism: Trifolium pratense (red clover)
Lineage: Eukaryota; Viridiplantae; Streptophyta; Magnoliopsida; Fabales; Fabaceae
Exons: 4
Source: RefSeq, a predicted model, not a curated record